CUACAUGGGCGCAGCUGAUCAGCCUGCCGCGUGAGUGAUGAAGGCCUUCGGGUUGUAAGCUCUUUCACCCGGGACGAUAAUGACGGUACCCGGAGAAUAAGCCCCGGCUAACUCCGUGCCAGCAGCCGCGGUAAUAG
RNAcentral lists this ribosomal RNA (137 nucleotides) under uncultured bacterium. RNAcentral describes it as "partial 16S ribosomal RNA". The stretch from base 31 to 137 matches the Rfam family "Bacterial small subunit ribosomal RNA", at positions 401 to 526 of the family's 1533-position model. The record is from RNAcentral.